This 336-nucleotide unclassified non-coding RNA is filed under the name soil metagenome. Its description in RNAcentral is "partial contains 5.8S ribosomal RNA, internal transcribed spacer 2, and large subunit ribosomal RNA". The stretch from base 1 to 120 matches the Rfam family "5.8S ribosomal RNA", at positions 35 to 154 of the family's 154-position model. The record is from RNAcentral.
GAUGAAGAACGCAGUGAAAUGCGAUAAGUAGUGUGAAUUGCAGAAUUCAGUGAAUCAUCGAAUCUUUGAACGCACAUUGCGCCCCUUGGUAUUCCAUGGGGCAUGCCUGUUCGAGCGUCAUUUGUACCUUCAAGCUCUGCUUGGUGUUGGGUGUUUGUCUCGCCUCUGCGUGUAGACUCGCCUCAAAACAAUUGGCAGCCGGCGUAUUGAUUUCGGAGCGCAGUACAUCUCGCGCUUUGCACUCAUAACGACAGCGUCCAAAAGUACAUUUUACACUCUUGACCUCGGAUCAGGUAGGGAUACCCGCUGAACUUAAGCAUAUCAAUAAGCGGAGGA